GAUCCUGACUCAGGACGAACGCUGGCGGCGCGCCUAACACAUGCAAGUCGAACGAGAGAUGAAGAGCUUGCUCUUCAAAUCGAGUGGCGAACGGGUGAGUAACGCGUGAGGAACCUGCCUCAAAGAGGGGGACAACAGUUGGAAACGACUGCUAAUACCGCAUAAGCCCACGGCUCGGCAUCGAGCAGAGGGAAAAGGAGCAAUCCGCUUUGAGAUGGCCUCGCGUCCGAUUAG
RNAcentral lists this ribosomal RNA (234 nucleotides) under uncultured bacterium. RNAcentral describes it as "partial 16S ribosomal RNA". It matches the Rfam family "Bacterial small subunit ribosomal RNA", at positions 15 to 244 of the family's 1533-position model. The record is from RNAcentral.